Long non-coding RNA from Sphaeramia orbicularis (orbiculate cardinalfish), 368 nucleotides. RefSeq lists it as uncharacterized. NCBI's taxonomy places the organism in Eukaryota, Metazoa, Chordata, Actinopteri, Kurtiformes, Apogonidae. The record is from RefSeq and is a predicted model, not a curated record. The transcript is spliced from 3 exons.
GGAGACGGUAGAGUGAGCUGUGGUGUGGACGGUAAACUUGGAGUCAUAGAGCUGGUCUAAUGAGGACGAAAGAAAGAGAAAAGAAAGGAGAAGUGAACUGAACCCCUGAAUUGGACAGGUUUUUUCCCAGUGAUUGGAAACCCAGAUGGCGAGUGAGGAAAAAGAAGAACUUGGAUCUGCUGACCUGAACUUGUGGAACAGGGUCAGUUCUUUCGCAGUCAUGUGGGCAUGUAGAGGAAAUUGUGUAUUGUUAUAAUUACAGAAAAUCUGUUCAUUUUAUUUUCAUUUCUUUUGGUUAAUACCUGAUAUUAUGGGUCUCCGAGUCAGUAUGUGAAACUUUUAAUUUGAGUCUGUUCCCCAACAAGCAA